AUUGAACGCUGGCGGCAGGCCUAACACAUGCAAAUCGAGCGGCAGCGGAAAGUAGCUUGCUACUUUGCCGGCGAGCGGCGGACGGGUGAGUAAUGUCUGGGAAACUGCCUGAUGGAGGGGGAUAACUACUGGAAACGGUAGCUAAUACCGCAUAACGUCGCAAGACCAAAGAGGGGGACCUUCGGGCCUCUUGCCAUCAGAUGUGCCCAGAUGGGAUUAGCUAGUAGGUGGGGUAACGGCUCACCUAGGCGACGAUCCCUAGCUGGUCUGUGAGAAUGACCGGCAACACUGGAACUGAUACACGGUCCAGACUCCUACGGGAGGCAGCUGUGGGGAAUAUUGAACAAUGGGCGCAAGCCUGAUGCAGCCAUGCCGCGUGUAUGAAGAAGGCCUUCGGGUUGUAAAGUACUUUCAGCGGGGAGGAAGGCGCUGAGGUUAAUAACCUCAGCGAUUGACGUUACCCGCAGAAGAAGCACCGGCUAACUCCGUGCCAGCAGCCGCAGUAA
Molecule: ribosomal RNA, 506 nt
Filed under: uncultured bacterium
Lineage: Bacteria
Description: partial 16S ribosomal RNA
Rfam family: Bacterial small subunit ribosomal RNA
Source: RNAcentral